AAGCAAGUUUAUACAUGCCCUUAGCAUUAUAAAGUUAAGUUAAUGAAACAAGCGUUCGGACAAAAGUAAAGUUGUGCAAAGUCCCCUGGAGCACAAAGGUCUGGUACAAAGGUCAAUAUGUGAACCAUGUGAUCAUGCACGUGCAGAGCGCACGUGUGAGUUAACAACAAACCAUUGUAAAAAUCUCUUCCCAUGUGUGCGGGAAAUUAGACCAAUCAGGUUUCACCAUUUCAUCUGCAUAGUUUCCUGCUUGGAUCAGUAAGCCUCAUUAGGGCCAUUUAUACGGAACAAAAUAAGACGCGACUUACAUAAGACGCGACUUACAUAAGACGCGACUUACAUAAGACGCGACUUACAUAAGACGCGACUUACAUAAGACGCGACUUAAAUAAGACGCGAGUUUGUCGUAUAAAAGGUACAAAAUUC
Molecule: non-coding RNA, 426 nt
Organism: Paramuricea clavata
Lineage: Eukaryota; Metazoa; Cnidaria; Anthozoa; Malacalcyonacea; Plexauridae
Source: the annotation of a GenBank genome assembly